UGAAUGAUUGAUUCUCUACAGAUGCAUUUGGGAAAGCAUGCACCCAAAUUCACGACAAUUAUAUAAAUUUUUUGACACCGAACAUCUUUCUAUUGGCAAUGAUGAAAGUAAAAACUAUACGGUGGAUCUUAUAGCCAAAUGGAUGAUGACUAUGGAUAGACGAGGCCAAAUAUAUUUCAUUCCUUGGAUUGUUGAUCGACAUUGGAUGUUGGUGCUCGUGAUGAUGCGGGGGAUGACCAUAAUUUUGGACCCUUUAAAAAAUCAUAAAUCUCCACCAAUAAUUACGGAGGUUAUGGAAAAAGCAUACGCACAAUGUUUGGAAAAUGAAUACAUCGGCACAUUUACAAAAUUGGUGAGAGGUUCUUGUCCAAAACAACCUGAAAGUCAUGAAUGUGGUUAUUAUGUACUAAGAUACAUUUAUGAUCUUGUAAAUGCAC
This is a long non-coding RNA of Humulus lupulus (European hop), 437 nucleotides long. RefSeq lists it as uncharacterized. The record is from RefSeq and is a predicted model, not a curated record. Lineage: Eukaryota; Viridiplantae; Streptophyta; Magnoliopsida; Rosales; Cannabaceae. The transcript is spliced from 3 exons.